CAGAGUUCAUGCCCUUACGGGUAGAUCUCCCACCCUAUGUUAUUAUUACCUUUGUUGCUUUGGCGGGCCGUCAGGCCUCGGUCAGGCUAUCGGCUCCGGCUGGUAAGCGCCCGCCAGAGGACCCAAAAACUCUGAAUAUUAGUGUCGUCUGAGUACUAUAUAAUAGUUA
This 169-nucleotide unclassified non-coding RNA is filed under the name uncultured Helotiales. RNAcentral describes it as "sequence contains ITS1". Lineage: Eukaryota; Fungi; Ascomycota; Leotiomycetes; Helotiales. The record is from RNAcentral.